This 74-nucleotide transfer RNA is filed under the name Thermofilum sp. NZ13. Its description in RNAcentral is "tRNA-Thr". It matches the Rfam family "tRNA". From Rfam's summary of the family: Transfer RNA (tRNA) molecules are approximately 80 nucleotides in length. Their secondary structure includes four short double-helical elements and three loops (D, anti-codon, and T loops). The record is from RNAcentral. RNAcentral also lists the same sequence under 2 other names. Lineage: Archaea; Thermoproteati; Thermoproteota; Thermoprotei; Thermofilales; Thermofilaceae.
GCCCCGGUAGCUCAGCUAGGUAGAGCACCGCUCUGGUAAGGCGGGGGUCCCGGGUUCAAACCCCGGCCGGGGCU